Molecule: small nucleolar RNA, 143 nt
Filed under: Trypanosoma theileri
Lineage: Eukaryota; Euglenozoa; Kinetoplastea; Trypanosomatida; Trypanosomatidae
Description: ACEA small nucleolar RNA U3
Rfam family: ACEA small nucleolar RNA U3
About the family: Small nucleolar RNAs (snoRNAs) are involved in the processing and modification of rRNA in the nucleolus. There are two main classes of snoRNAs: the box C/D class, and the box H/ACA class. U3 snoRNA is a member of the box C/D class.
Source: Rfam by way of RNAcentral
AAGACCGUACUCUGAACAGAAUCGUUUUAUGAGUACAACCUCUUAACUGAAACUAAACCAAGUUUCAAAUCCUGAUGAAGAUGGUCGCCGGCUCCGCCCAGAGAGCGAUUCGAUGAAAGGCAGGAGCCGGAUCCAGAAGGAUA